GCCUUUUACAUGCCCUUUCAAACCAGUGUCUUCUCUCCUUCCUCAGAGGUCUCCACUCCUGAGUGUAGGCUUGUCACUCCCACAAAGCAUAAUAAGCGAGCAUUUAAAAAUUGUCCAGGUCGGUUGAAGGCAUUCUGAGAAAAGAAGCUUGUGGUCAGAUUCUUACUCCGGAUUUGUUAUAUACGUUGAAAGCACUGAAGAGGCUCUCAGACCUGGGAAGAAAUUUGUCAAUUUCUGGAGUCAGCAUUGACCACAGAACCUCUUUCCCCAUCCUCUGUGCACUCUGGUUGCUUGAAACAUGCUAUGGCUUCUUAACUUUCUAGAUGUAGAUGACAAAGUUAGUAGUAGUCAUCAUUUCCAGUUGAUGUUGAUUAUUAGAUCAAGUUUAAAAUAAAUUUACAAAAGAGGAAGGUAAAGUGCUAAUAAGUUGCAUAUUUAUUGACCAGCAUGCAAGUUACUUACCCUCCUUAAUUUUUAAGUUCCUGAGCUCUCCUCCAUUGAAGUGUCUGGCUCUGGACCAUGGCUACAUAUAACCUUUGCCUUAAACUCAUCUGUUAACCUUUUAUGUUCUGUGGUUGGACUAUGCUGAGUUUAUUGUUCAUGUCUGACACAUUUUCUUGAAUAACGGUUAUCUAACUGUUAAUGUACAACAUGGUACUCAAAUCCUUUGCUCUUUUUUCUCCUGUAUUAGAAAAUCUUGGUCCUUUUUGUAAUUUAUGUAUAAAAGAGUUUUUUAUUAACAUUUGUUCAUGUAAUGGUCUGAUCCAGGAAAAAUAAAACAGGAAAAUGGACACUAUUUCUGACCUUCAAAUAAAACUCUUAUUAGUUUUUAGACUGUU
Molecule: long non-coding RNA, 839 nt
Organism: Pipistrellus kuhlii (Kuhl's pipistrelle)
Lineage: Eukaryota; Metazoa; Chordata; Mammalia; Chiroptera; Vespertilionidae
Exons: 2
Source: RefSeq, a predicted model, not a curated record